GUGGACUUCAGCGUUUACAUAAGGAGGGCCUUUGAUAUCUGUUCACCUCUGCUUUUUAGUAGCCCAAGUCGCCGAGGCAAGGGAUGAGAGUUUGCCUACUUGCUUGAAAGGAGAAGGAACAAAAAAACUAAAGGGAGAACAAUACAAUUUAAAAGUAUUUUAGUGAAUUUGCCUGCCACGUCUGCAUGAUCUUACCAAACCCCACCUUUCAAGGGAGGUGUUCUUUCUCCUAUUUCAAUGAGAGGGAAACCGAGGUUUAGAGAAGCCAACCGAGUAACUUGCUCAAAGUCAGUUGUGUUUACAGCAAAGCCAGGAUUUAAAAUGAGGAGAGUUUCACUCCAAAAUAGUUUUAUUCAUCACACUGUGCUUUCCCUCAGGCACACAAAAAAAGGAUGUUCAGAGUUUUCUAAGCAUGGAGUACGAUGACCAGAAUGGAUCAUCCAUUGUGCAGCCCAAUUAUGUGACACCCCACGCACCCGCCCCAAGUCGCCGGAGGUGGGAGAGCACUUCAUCCUCCUCCCGGGCCCUGUUGCUCCCUGGGGAGGCCAGCUGGUCCCCGGGAAGAAUUUUUGCCCUCGUGAGGAAGCAGGUAGCGGAGGUCACCGGCUGCUUCCCCUGGACUGGCUGCCCCUACACGGGGUCAGGCUGGGGAACUGAAAUUGUAAAGCAGAGGUCUGUGUGGAGCCUUUGAAUAUUUUCUUAAACAGCCAGUGAUGGAAACUUUCGAUAACAGCUCGAGUAAAGGCUGAUGGCUGUAAGAGUAUCCUCCGUGGAUGGGACUGGAAAGGAAUCUCUGCUGCUUGUGGCCCGGCUGCCUGAGCCGGUGGUCUUCGCCCACCAUCUGGGAUCCUCGUGGUGGGUUCUGCUGCCCGAAGCCUCGGUUGUCAUCAAUCAACCUGCACCCCCACAGGCCUUCCGGGCUUCGGGGGAUUUUGAAGCCAAAGAAAUGGGAAGGGGGACUCUCUUGGGGGGGUCUUCUUGAUGGCCCACCAGCUGGCACCCCCCGGCCACGGAGAGGCCCACGGAGGCCUCAGGAGGCUGGAGCACAGCAGUCACUGGGUCACUGCCCAGGUGCACCGACCCUGGCAGGGGGGCCCGGCCCUCCAGAAUCCAAAGGCCAAGGAAGAAGAACUCCAGAACUUAGAAUUCCUCUUCAUAGAAGGAGUUGUAGAAACCAAGUAGCAAUGAGGGUCACUCAACUGGAGCAGCUCUACGUGCUCUCCUACCAUGACAGCUUUUUGAGAAAUCUGAGGAAGCAUCAGCUUGCAGCCCGGCUGCGGUUUCCACCACGGAGCUGGCCAGACAGAGAGGCCUGCAGCGUGCCUGGGUGA
RNAcentral lists this long non-coding RNA (1331 nucleotides) under Vulpes vulpes (red fox). RNAcentral's name for it is "lncRNA (ENSVVUG00000029916.1)". Lineage: Eukaryota; Metazoa; Chordata; Mammalia; Carnivora; Canidae. The record is from RNAcentral.